CAGCAGCCGCGGGAAUACGAAGGGUGCAAGCGUUACUCGGAAUUACUGGGCGUAAAGCGUGCGUAGGUGGUGGUUUAAGUCCGUUGUGAAAGCCCUGGGCUCAACCUGGGAAUUGCAGUGGAUACUGGGUCACUAGAGUGUGGUAGAGGAUAGUGGAAUUUCCGGUGUAGCAGUGAAAUGCGUAGAGAUCGGAAGGAACAUCUGUGGCGAAGGCGACUAUCUGGGCCAACACUGACACUGAGGCACGAAAGCGUGGGGAGCAAACAGGAUUAGAUACCCCUGUAGUCCCUGUCUCUUAUCA
Molecule: ribosomal RNA, 301 nt
Filed under: uncultured bacterium
Lineage: Bacteria
Description: partial 16S ribosomal RNA
Rfam family: Bacterial small subunit ribosomal RNA
Source: RNAcentral